RNAcentral lists this long non-coding RNA (820 nucleotides) under Junco hyemalis (dark-eyed junco). RNAcentral's name for it is "lncRNA (ENSJHYG00000003296.1)". The record is from RNAcentral. Lineage: Eukaryota; Metazoa; Chordata; Aves; Passeriformes; Passerellidae.
CGAGCUUUCACAGGAAAAUGUUCUGUGCGAGUCUAAAAUCAUCCUGUUAAGUUUGUGCAAAAGAUGGGGAGUUCACCUCAUGAGCUCUGGUAGGAACAGAGUGCCUGUGAACCUCUGGGCAGCGUGGGGUUAGGGCUGGCCAUGGACAGGAGUCUAUGCCAUGAAAAACGUUCAAACCUUUUAAUUUGUUUCCAUUUCUCAUGAGGCAGAAAAAGGAAAACCUUGGGAAUUAUAUUUUUUUUUUCCUGCAAAAUGUUGUGGAAUAAGGCUGUGGAGCACAUCUUUCCUUCUGGAUGCUGUCAGCGAGGUUGGGAAUGUCUUCAGAGCUGGGAUUUGGACCUGGACCUCCCGCCACCCCUGGGCGUGUGCAUCAGGCUGUGGGUCUGAUUCAGUCUUACAGUUUUGAUGUCUCAAACAAAGGUCAGCACCUUCACAAGGCUCACAUUGACAAGUGGAUGAGACAAGCAAGUGGGCUGGAGAAGACAUCUGCCUCCAAUAUCCUGAUGGACCUCGAGGACCUGUGUGUCUGGAGGCACACAAGCAUUGCUGGAUCAAAGACUGGCCGCCAAGAUACAGUGUCUGAAUGCUGCUGCUGCUGCUGCAUUAAUGUGUGAGUAUUUAAACUGAGUUUUCUGUCUCAUCCCUUGGAGCUGCCUGCACGGGAGAGGUCUCGCCUCGUGCCUUCCCCCUCUCUGUUAUUCCUGCUCUGGGAUGAGAAAUGUGAGGCUCUUUCUCCGUUUCCAGCGUUGCACAGAUGAAAAGGCAAGUUCUCCUUUUAGCAACUUCCAGUCAUUUGUUUUUAUGCUCACCCAAGGUGUAU